GGGGAAUCCGCAAGGCGCCGACUCUCUUCCUCCUUGCAAGCCCUUCGAAAGUGAGAUUUCUCACCCCACCCUUGCAGGGUGGAGAGAACACGUUUCAAAAAGGGGAUGCCUAGAACUCAGCCGUGGGAAGUGCCUGUCUAAAGCCUUGUGCUGGUGCCAGUAGCAAACCCGUGCGCGUGCUCGGCUUUGAGCGAUCAUGGAGCUCUGCAAAUAGCUCAACUGCAGAGCGUGCCCCUUAGAGCUCCUGUGCUGCUGGGAGGCCUCAUAAAGGUGCCAAAACCAGGUGUCCCCAGCGGUUGGCCUCUUUAAAAAGAAAAAAAAAAAAAGGCGGAGU
Molecule: long non-coding RNA, 334 nt
Filed under: Homo sapiens (human)
Lineage: Eukaryota; Metazoa; Chordata; Mammalia; Primates; Hominidae
Description: non-protein coding lnc-UQCRHL-1:8
Source: RNAcentral